This 473-nucleotide ribosomal RNA is filed under the name Bacillaceae bacterium oral taxon D08. RNAcentral's name for it is "bacterial SSU rRNA". It matches the Rfam family "Bacterial small subunit ribosomal RNA", at positions 28 to 487 of the family's 1533-position model. The record is from RNAcentral. Lineage: Bacteria; Bacillati; Bacillota; Bacilli; Caryophanales; Bacillaceae.
GACGAACGCUGGCGGCGUGCCUAAUACAUGCAAGUCGAGCGGACUUUAAAAGCUUGCUUUUAAAGUUAGCGGCGGACGGGUGAGUAACACGUGGGCAACCUGCCUGUAAGACUGGGAUAACUUCGGGAAACCGGAGCUAAUACCGGAUAAUCCUUUUCUACUCAUGUAGAAAAGCUGAAAGACGGCAUCUCGCUGUCACUUACAGAUGGGCCCGCGGCGCAUUAGCUAGUUGGUGAGGUAACGGCUCACCAAGGCAACGAUGCGUAGCCGACCUGAGAGGGUGAUCGGCCACACUGGGACUGAGACACGGCCCAGACUCCUACGGGAGGCAGCAGUAGGGAAUCUUCCGCAAUGGACGAAAGUCUGACGGAGCAACGCCGCGUGAGUGAUGAAGGUUUUCGGAUCGUAAAACUCUGUUGUUAGGGAAGGACAAGUACAAGAGUAACUGCUUUACCUUGACGUACCUAACCAGA